CCUACGGGUGGCUGCAGUGGGGAAUAUUGCACAAUGGGCGCAAGCCUGAUGCAGCCAUGCCGCGUGUGUGAAGAAGGCCUUCGGGUUGUAAAGCACUUUCAGCGGGGAGGAAGGCGUUAAGGUUAAUAACCUUGUCGAUUGACGUUACCCGCAGAAGAAGCACCGGCUAACUCCGUGCCAGCAGCCGCGGUAAUACGGAGGGUGCAAGCGUUAAUCGGAAUUACUGGGCGUAAAGCGCACGCAGGCGGUCUAUCAAGUCGGAUGUGAAAUCCCCGGGCUCAACCUGGGAACUGCAUUCGAAACUGGCAGGCUAGAGUCGUGUAGAGGGGGGUAGAAUUCCAGGUGUAGCGGUGAAAUGCGUAGAGAUCUUGAGGAAUACCGGUGGCGAAGGCGGCCCCCUGGACAAAGACUGACGCUCAGGUGCGAAAGCGUGGGGAGCAAACAGGAUUAGAUACCCGGGUAGUC
This 465-nucleotide ribosomal RNA is filed under the name uncultured Klebsiella sp. Its description in RNAcentral is "bacterial SSU rRNA". It matches the Rfam family "Bacterial small subunit ribosomal RNA", at positions 338 to 795 of the family's 1533-position model. The record is from RNAcentral. Lineage: Bacteria; Pseudomonadati; Pseudomonadota; Gammaproteobacteria; Enterobacterales; Enterobacteriaceae.